This 170-nucleotide non-coding RNA is filed under the name Tractidigestivibacter scatoligenes. RNAcentral's name for it is "Olsenella scatoligenes Lysine sequence". It matches the Rfam family "Lysine riboswitch aptamer". Rfam says of the family: Riboswitches are metabolite binding domains within certain messenger RNAs that serve as precision sensors for their corresponding targets. Allosteric rearrangement of mRNA structure is mediated by ligand binding, and this results in modulation of gene expression. The record is from Rfam by way of RNAcentral. Lineage: Bacteria; Bacillati; Actinomycetota; Coriobacteriia; Coriobacteriales; Atopobiaceae.
CCCCACGAUAGAGGAGCGGGCACGAUGGUCCUGGUGGAGCCGGCGGGCGAGGAUUCCAGGAGAGGCGAUGACCGCCGAACUUCCACGUCAGGCAUGGCGUGGCGGUGGGCUCGGCGGGAAUACCGCCGGGACUGUCCGUGGAGAAGAUCUGCGGGAGCGCUAUCCCCGGC